CAUGAGUGAAAGAUGUACCAUUAGCUGUUUUAAAUUAAAAUAAAAUGUUAUGCAUGAAUCUUUUUUUUUUUUCCAGUAAUUCCCUUACAUGAGCCAACUUUCAAUUAACCAAUUACCAGAUCCAAUCAUGUCUGUUAAGAAGGUGUCCACUGUACGGGAGACAAUCAGCAGUGGGGCAUCUGGAAAUGUGUAAGGGAGUUCUGAGUAGUCACAAUGACUGGCAUUUUGUGGGUAAAAACCAGAGGAGUAUGACUAUAGUUCUUGAGAAAGACCCAUACAAAGAAGUGUCCUGACUAAAAUGCCAGAGCAUCUCAUCAAGGAAUACCGGAAUACGAGCUGAGAAAAGAAAAGACUUAUAUUUUGCGGUAGUGACCAGGGUUGCAGGUAUGAAGCACAGUACCUGGGCCCCAGGUGCAUACCUCCCACCCCCAAACACAUACACAUUCUCCAGCACUCCUGAAGACUUCUAUGGAAGGAGACUUGGAAUACAUAUAUCCUAAGAUGUCAAGAUCUAGACUGACUGGAAUCCAAGACCCACAGAGGUUAAAAAUAAUCUGCCCAAGAUAACACAAUCAAUGAAAGCCAGAUCUAGUAUCCAGAUUUUAGAUCCCAUGUAGUUAUAUAUGGAAAAUAAAGAUACACAUGAG
This is a long non-coding RNA of Lutra lutra (Eurasian river otter), 647 nucleotides long. RefSeq lists it as uncharacterized. The transcript is spliced from 3 exons. NCBI's taxonomy places the organism in Eukaryota, Metazoa, Chordata, Mammalia, Carnivora, Mustelidae. The record is from RefSeq and is a predicted model, not a curated record.